Molecule: regulatory RNA element, 348 nt
Organism: Cavia porcellus (domestic guinea pig)
Lineage: Eukaryota; Metazoa; Chordata; Mammalia; Rodentia; Caviidae
Rfam family: Mason-Pfizer monkey virus packaging signal
About the family: The packaging signal is located in the 5' UTR and is required for specific RNA encapsidation.
Source: Rfam
UGGCACCCAGCAUGGGGGCUCUUGGCACGAGGGAGUUAAUGAGAGAGCCGUUCGAGAAUGCCAGCGAGAAGUAAAAACAAAUUGAAUCAAGGAUCAAAGCUAAGAGUGAAAACAAACUGAAUCAAGGAUUGAAGCUAAGAGUGAAAGCAUAUUGAAUCAAGGACCGAGGCUGCCUGGACGACCAUUCAUGAACAGCAAACCCAUUCCCUUUCCCGGACAAGGGUCAAGCAUUGAGCGAACAUGAAUUGUUUGUGGGAGGCCUUAACAAGGCAUUAAAGACAAGAGGGUUAAAGGUUAGAACAAAAGAAUUGUUGCAGUAUUUUCAGUUUAUCCAUAAGGUUUGUCCUU